Molecule: small nuclear RNA, 116 nt
Filed under: Catagonus wagneri (Chacoan peccary)
Lineage: Eukaryota; Metazoa; Chordata; Mammalia; Artiodactyla; Tayassuidae
Description: U4 spliceosomal RNA (ENSCWAG00000003122.1)
Rfam family: U4 spliceosomal RNA
About the family: U4 small nuclear RNA (U4 snRNA) is a component of the major U2-dependent spliceosome. The structure of U4 snRNA from yeast and human has been reported.
Source: Rfam by way of RNAcentral
AGCUUUGCGCAGUUGUUGUAUCAUAGCCAUUGAGGUUUAUCCGAGCCACGAUUAUUACUAGCUGAAAAAUAUUCCCAGUACAGUGUUUUCCAAAUUUCGGCUGUACAGCAAAAUGA